RNAcentral lists this ribosomal RNA (253 nucleotides) under uncultured bacterium. RNAcentral's name for it is "partial 16S ribosomal RNA". It matches the Rfam family "Archaeal small subunit ribosomal RNA", at positions 474 to 727 of the family's 1478-position model. The record is from RNAcentral.
UACCAGCACCCCGAGUGGUCGGGACGAUUAUUGGGCCUAAAGCGUCCGUAGCCGGUCCUACAAGUCUUCCGUUAAAUCCACCUGCUCAACAGAUGGGCUGCGGAAGAUACUAUAGGGCUAGGAGGCGGGAGAGGCAAGCGGUACUCAGUGGGUAGGGGUAAAAUCCUCUGAUCCAUUGAAGACCACCAGUGGCGAAGGCGGCUUGCCAGAACGCGCUCGACGGUGAGGGAUGAAAGCUGGGGGAGCAAACCGG